This is a non-coding RNA of Potamilus streckersoni, 77 nucleotides long. The record is from the annotation of a GenBank genome assembly. NCBI's taxonomy places the organism in Eukaryota, Metazoa, Mollusca, Bivalvia, Unionida, Unionidae.
GACCUCUUCGGUGGCCUAGUGGUCAGAGCGUCCGCCUCGGAUGCGGGAGGUGGUGGGCUUGAUCCCCGGCUGAGUUA